Molecule: ribosomal RNA, 482 nt
Filed under: uncultured bacterium
Lineage: Bacteria
Description: partial 16S ribosomal RNA
Rfam family: Bacterial small subunit ribosomal RNA
Source: RNAcentral
AUUGAACGCUGGCGGCAUGCUUUACACAUGCAAGUCGAACGGUAACAGGCCGCAAGGUGCUGACGAGUGGCGAACGGGUGAGUAAUGCAUCGGAACGUGCCCAGUCGUGGGGGAUAACUACUCGAAAGAGUAGCUAAUACCGCAUACGAUCUAUGGAUGAAAGCGGGGGAUCGUAAGGCCUCGCGCGAUUGGAGCGGCCAAUGUCAGAUUAGGUAGUUGGUGGGGUAAAGGCUCACCAAGCCAACGAUCUGUAGCUGGUCUGAGAGGACGACCAGCCACACUGGGACUGAGACACGGCCCAGACUCCUACGGGAGGCAGCAGUGGGGAAUUUUGGACAAUGGGCGCAAGCCUGAUCCAGCAAUGCCGCGUGCAGGAAGAAGGCCUUCGGGUUGUAAACUGCUUUUGUACGGAACGAAACGGCUCUGGUUAAUACCCGGGGCUAAUGACGGUACCGUAAGAAUAAGCACCGGCUAACUACGUG